Molecule: ribosomal RNA, 468 nt
Filed under: uncultured bacterium
Lineage: Bacteria
Description: partial 16S ribosomal RNA
Rfam family: Bacterial small subunit ribosomal RNA
Source: RNAcentral
GACGAACGCUGGCGGCGUGCUUAACACAUGCAAGUCGAACGGAAAGGCCCUGCUUUUGUGGGGUGCUCGUGUGGCGAACGGGUGAGUAACACGUGAGUAACCUGCCCUUGACUUUGGGAUAACUUCAGGAAACUGGGGCUAAUACCGGAUAGGAGCUCCUGCUGCAUGGUGGGGGUUGGAAAGUUUCGGCGGUUGGGGAUGGACUCGCGGCUUAUCAGCUUGUUGGUGGGGUAGUGGCUUACCAAGGCUUUGACGGGUAGCCGGCCUGGGAGGGUGACCGGCCACAUUGGGACUGAGAUACGGCCCAGACUCCUACGGGAGGCAGCAGUGGGGAAUAUUGCACAAUGGGCGGAAGCCUGAUGCAGCAACGCCGCGUGCGGGAUGACGGCCUUCGGGUUGUAAACCGCUUUCGCCUGUGACGAAGCGUGAGUGACGGUAAUGGGUAAAGAAGCACCGGCUAACUACGUG